This 789-nucleotide ribosomal RNA is filed under the name uncultured Staphylococcus sp. Its description in RNAcentral is "bacterial SSU rRNA". It matches the Rfam family "Bacterial small subunit ribosomal RNA", at positions 129 to 904 of the family's 1533-position model. Lineage: Bacteria; Bacillati; Bacillota; Bacilli; Caryophanales; Staphylococcaceae. The record is from RNAcentral.
CCUAUAAGACUGGGAUAACUUCGGGAAACCGGAGCUAAUACCGGAUAACAUUUGGAACCGCAUGGUUCUAAAGUGAAAGAUGGUUUUGCUAUCACUUAUAGAUGGACCCGCGCCGUAUUAGCUAGUUGGUAAGGUAACGGCUUACCAAGGCAACGAUACGUAGCCGACCUGAGAGGGUGAUCGGCCACACUGGAACUGAGACACGGUCCAGACUCCUACGGGAGGCAGCAGUAGGGAAUCUUCCGCAAUGGGCGAAAGCCUGACGGAGCAACGCCGCGUGAGUGAUGAAGGGUUUCGGCUCGUAAAACUCUGUUAUUAGGGAAGAACAAAUGUGUAAGUAACUGUGCACAUCUUGACGGUACCUAAUCAGAAAGCCACGGCUAACUACGUGCCAGCAGCCGCGGUAAUACGUAGGUGGCAAGCGUUAUCCGGAAUUAUUGGGCGUAAAGCGCGCGUAGGCGGUUUCUUAAGUCUGAUGUGAAAGCCCACGGCUCAACCGUGGAGGGUCAUUGGAAACUGGGAAACUUGAGUGCAGAAGAGGAAAGUGGAAUUCCAUGUGUAGCGGUGAAAUGCGCAGAGAUAUGGAGGAACACCAGUGGCGGAGGCGACUUUCUGGUCUGUAACUGACGCUGAUGUGCGAAAGCGUGGGGAUCAAACAGGAUUAGAUACCCUGGUAGUCCACGCCGUAAACGAUGAGUGCUAAGUGUUAGGGGGUUUCCGCCCCUUAGUGCUGCAGCUAACGCAUUAAGCACUCCGCCUGGGGAGUACGACCGCAAGGUUGAAACUCAA